Long non-coding RNA from Hyla sarda, 220 nucleotides. RefSeq lists it as uncharacterized. NCBI's taxonomy places the organism in Eukaryota, Metazoa, Chordata, Amphibia, Anura, Hylidae. The record is from RefSeq and is a predicted model, not a curated record. The transcript has 3 exons.
ACAGGUGACUGCUGCCCGGUGAGAAGGUGAGCCUGACAUAUAACUCCGUCAGCUACAAUAAAGGAACCACGAGACAGGUGACUGAUGCCGAGUGAGAAGGUAUACCUGACACAUGCCCCCAUCAGCUGCAAUAAAGGAACCACGAGACAGGUGACUGAUGCCAAGUGAGAAGGUAUACAUGACACGUACCCCCGUCAGCUGCAAUAAAGGAACCACGAGA